Molecule: long non-coding RNA, 3382 nt
Filed under: Sus scrofa (pig)
Lineage: Eukaryota; Metazoa; Chordata; Mammalia; Artiodactyla; Suidae
Description: lncRNA (ENSSSCG00065033691.1)
Source: RNAcentral
GGCCAGGAAUCGAACCUGUAUCCUCAUGGAUACUACUCAGGUUCGUUACUGCUGAGCCACAGUGGGAACGCCAGUGGAUCUGUGCUUUUAAAUAUGCUUGGGAUGUUGAUGCUUAAUAAAGAAGAUCUCAGUGAAUAUCUGUAGAACAAGCCGUUUGAGCUGAGUGGCGUGCGUGUGUAAAGUAGAAGCUGUUUCCUUGGUUAUAAAAUACCCUGGUUCCCUCACCUAAACCUUCUCUUGUUCCCUGGGUUUGACGGCAUAACAUGGAGAUUUGCGGAAGUCACUGUACUGCUACUCCUCCAGCUGGUGAGAGUGAGUCUGAACCAGAAAACCUUGGCAGGGUGAUCAGCUCCAUUCUGCUGUUGAGGAGACGGGAUGAGCGAGGGCAGAGGAUGGAAACCAGAGGUGCACAGCUUUGAGGUCAGACCUGUAACUCCAGGCUUUGUGGGUGCAUUUCAGGCCUUGAACCACCUUGCUGUCAUGAAGCACAGCAAUGCUCAUUUCAGGAUUUCCCUUGUGGUCAGUGAGUUAAGGAUCUGGUGUUGUGGCUGCUGUGGCACAGGUUUGAUCCCUGGCCUGGGAACUUCCACAUGCCAAAAACCCAGACAAACAAAAAUCAGCCCAAAACAAUGCUAAGCUCAGUCCUCCAGUGGCUUUCACCUGGGAAGCCCAGGUGAUGCCGGCUGGGCCUGGCCACUCCCCGGCCUUGCUGUCUAAUGUGCGGUGCUUUGCUCACCAUGUUGGUGGUGUACUUGUGCUCUCCACAGAGGCUGGCAUAGGAUGUGGUCUUCUUUCUCGUGGGGAAUAUGAUGGUGCAUUUUCUCUUCAAUUCACUUAUUUUGCCUGUUUAAAAAUGAUUUGUAUUAUUGACAAACAAGGGGAAAUAUGUUUUCUUUUAAAAUUGUAGUUAACCCUCCCCCAAACUAACCAUCUUAACUAUUUCAAAGUGUGUAGUUCAGGAGUCUUAAAUAGGUAUACAUUGUUGUACAGCAGAUUUUUAGAACUUUUUUCCAAAACUAAAACUCUGUACGGAUUAACACCUCCCCAUUUCUCCCCAUCCCCUCAGCCCCCAGCAACCACCAUGUUACUUCUGUUUUCUGUGAAUUUAACUACUUUAGAUACUUCAUAUUCCUGGGAUCGUAUAGUAUCUGUUUUUUGUGACUGGCUUAUUUCACUUAGUGUAGUGUCCUUAAGAUCGAUCCAUAAUUUCUGUUCUUUUAACUAAAACAUCAUUAAGUUGUAAGGCUUUUUUCUGAGCGACAUUUAUAUGAGUUUUCUAUUUACUGUGUAACAGAUUACUGAUAUUUAGUGUCUUAAAGCAAUAACAUUUGUUAUCUCACAGUUUCUGUGCAUGAUGGGGUCCAGGCAUGGCUUGCUGAUCUCUCUGCUUAGGGCUCAUGUGGCUGCAGUUGUGUGUUGGGCUGUAGUUCUCUUCCAGAACUCAGAGUGCCCCUGCAAGCUCUUGUCGUUGUGGCAGAAUGCAGUUCUUUUGGUUGUAGGACUCACAUCCUGGUUUUCUUGCUGGCUGGAUGGCUGUCGGUUGGCAGCAUGGCUGUCGGUUGGCAGCUUUCUUAGCUCCUAGAGGUGGCCUGCACUCUCUUGCCAGGAAUACUGAUUUAUUUCCUUAACUCUAGGUUAGUUCUGUCUAUUCUAGAGCUUCAUAUAAAUGUAGGAGAUGAUACAACAUGCGUGUUUUGCAUCCAGCUUCUUUAAUGUAAUGUAGCUCUUUGGACUCAGGGCGUGGAACAGAUCGUGUCAGUGGUUUGUUCCUUUCUGUCCCUGUGCGGCUCUUCUCCUGUAUGGACUGCUGCAGUCUAACCAUUCUCGUCUGGAUGCGCAUCCGGGAUGGGGAGCCCUCCCUCUUGGACACCAUUAUGUGGACGGUAUUUUCAUUUCUUUUGCGUAAAUAUCUAGGAGUGGAAUUUGCUCACACAGAUAGAUACCGGGUUGACUUUUAAAGACACUGUCACUUUCCCAAAAUGGUUGUGCAGUUUGCACUCGCAGCAGCAGUGUGUGUGAGUAGUUAGUUCCAGUUGUUCGCUGAACCUCCAGCUUCUGGUUCAUCAGCUGCUGCUAGAUGCUGACCUCUUGUGGUGGGUCUGGCGCGCCUCCCCGGUUACUAACCGUGAUGUGCACUUACUCACAUGUUUGUUGGCUUUUACACCUGCUUUCAUGAAGCGUCUGUUCAGGUCUUUUGCCCAUUAAAAUAAAUUGGGUUUUCUUUUUAUUAUUGAUUUUAGGAAUUCUUUUUCUUUUCUUUUCUUUUUUUUUGUCUUUUUGCCAUUUUUUGGGGUACUCCCUCGGCAUCAUAUGGAAGUUCCCAGGCUAGGGGUCGAACUGGAGCUGCAGCUGCCUGCUGUACCACAGCCACAGCAACCUUGAAUCCGACGGUUGUAACCUGCACCACAGCUCAUGGCAACGCCAGAUCCUUAACCCACUGAGCAAGGCCAGGGAUCGAACCUGCGUCCUCAUGGAUCCUAGUCAGGUUCAUUACUGCUGAGCCACAAUGGGAACUUCCAAAAACUUAAAUAAAUGUUUAUUUAAAGAGAGAAGAGAGAGAAGACAGGUGUGGAGAAAGCAGAGGCAGAGGUGGCUUGGGGCAGGGGUUGAGGGGGAGACCGAGACAGAGGAACGAGAGAGGAAGGGGCCAAAGAUGCCUUUUUUUUAAACCUCCAAAUGAGCACUUCUAUAUCCUUUUGCCCCAGGCGCCCGAAACAUCCUGUCCUGCGUUCUCUCAGUCACACUGUCUGAUGCAGCUGUUUUCCCUUCUGCUCACUCAACCGUGGAUGGUGGUAGAGUCAUCUGCGUUCCUGGGGCUUACUCACUUGUUUUUAGCAAAAGCAUAUGCUCCUGUAUUUUCAUGUUCCUUUUUCCUGUGAUUUCUCAUGCUUAAAAUCUGCAUCUGAAGAGAUGGACCUGUGGUCCCACAGCAAAUUAAAUGACCUCAGCACACUUCCUGGCCUUGGCCUGGAGCCCUGCAUGGGGGAGAGCAGGUACUUCCCCCGCUGGUUGGGGACCUGGCCUCCUUGUGACGUUCCUUCCACGGGUGGUGUGGGUAGGUCAUCGGAGAGUGAGAGCACCUCUGUACAGAGAGGUGGCCAAUUUCAAAGCAGAACCACACCCAGCCAACUUCCUGAGCAGGGCUGUGGGAAAAAGUCCCAAAGAGUUCUGACUGCCCUCAUUUCUCUAAUUUUGCAAGGGCAUCUGCCUGUAAUAGAUUCACCCAAGAGGCAGAUACAUGCUUUUGCUUUCUGGGGUGGUUUGUAGUUGUGGGAUGGCAACAAAUAGAUACUGUAAAUUAGCAACGAGUAGAUACUGUGCACUCUAGAUUAGAUUAGGUGAGAGGAAGAGUUAGAGGAGAUACCAUGGUUAAAGUAGAAAA